Molecule: ribosomal RNA, 254 nt
Filed under: uncultured bacterium
Lineage: Bacteria
Description: partial 16S ribosomal RNA
Rfam family: Bacterial small subunit ribosomal RNA
Source: RNAcentral
UACGUAGGGUGCGAGCGUUGUCCGGAAUUAUUGGGCGUAAAGAGCUCGUAGGCGGUGUGUCGCGUCGGUCGUGAAAACUUGGGGCUUAACCCUGAGCUUGCAGUCGAUACGGGCAUCACUGGAGUUCGGCAGGGGAGACUGGAAUUCCUGGUGUAGCGGUGAAAUGCGCAGAUAUCAGGAGGAACACCGGUGGCGAAGGCGGGUCUCUGGGCCGAUACUGACGCUGAGGAGCGAAAGCGUGGGGAGCGAACAGG